AACGAACGCUGGCGGCAGGCUUAACACAUGCAAGUCGAGCGCCCCGCAAGGGGAGCGGCAGACGGGUGAGUAACGCGUGGGAAUCUACCCAGCUCUACGGAAUAACUCAGGGAAACUUGUGCCAAUACCGUAUACGUCCUCCGGGAGAAAGAUUUAUCGGAGCUGGAUGAGCCCGCGUUGGAUUAGCUAGUUGGUGGGGUAAUGGCCCACCAAGGCGACGAUCCAUAGCUGGUCUGAGAGGAUGAUCAGCCACAUUGGGACUGAGACACGGCCCAAACUCCUACGGGAGGUAGCAGUGGGGAAUAUUGGACAAUGGGCGAAAGCCUGAUCCAGCCAUGCCGCGUGAGUGAUGAAGGCCCUAGGGUUGUAAAGCUCUUUCACCGGUGAAGAUAAUGACGGUAACCGGAGAAGAAGCCCCGGCUAACUUCGUGCCAGCAGCCGCAGUAA
This 447-nucleotide ribosomal RNA is filed under the name uncultured bacterium. Its description in RNAcentral is "partial 16S ribosomal RNA". It matches the Rfam family "Bacterial small subunit ribosomal RNA", at positions 29 to 523 of the family's 1533-position model. The record is from RNAcentral.